CACAACCGACGUGGGACAACUCUUAACAGCAUGAUACAGGUAACAUUUUAUUGAUCUUUUGCCUCUGCAGUCACGAUACCAGAAUUCAAAUAUUCUUCAGGUCUCAAUAAUGUUGUUCCGAAAUGGGCUAUAAAUCCCAACACUGAUAAAAUAUGCUGCAGCUCAUAACAUAAUCAGCUGGCAUGUUCCUCAACCCCCGCCAAGGCGCCAUUAAAAGAAGAACAGACUGCAAAUGAAAUUAUUCUGUUUGAUAUCGCGACUUAAUUUGGAUUUAGCUUCUGUCGUGCGCUAUAUAAACUCCUUACUAAAGACGUAGCAGAGCAAACUUUUCAAGAAAGCAAUACGAAGCCAAAGAAUAGCCUUAAGAAAACAAUGGAAAGCAGGAUGAGGAAAGCAGCAAGUGCAAAGAGUUCAACAAGUAGCAGAGGGCCCUUACCGAGAAGGGGCCAGAUAAAGUCCUUGAUAGCGUCAAAUGCUCUUCAUUCUAUUGUUUCCGUUCUCUUAAGAGCCUCGUCGGAUCACCAUCACACCACUAGAAAACUGUAUUCUUGAGAGACUGAUCUGUAUACAUGCAUAAUGAAAGUUGUUAUCUCGGUUUAGCACAAAGAAAAUGAUGAGUUAGUUAUUUCUGUUUCGACUUGUUAUUUUUGUACUCGGAAUUUUGAAAUCCACAAAGAACAGGAUGCUGAAUCGAAAAACACCACUAGAAAACUAUAUUCUUGAGAGACUGAUCUGUAUACAUGCAUAAUGAAAGUUGUUAUCUCCGUUUAGCACAAAGAAAAUGAUGAGUUAGUUAUUUCUGUUUCGACUUGUUAUUUCUGUA
This 823-nucleotide long non-coding RNA is filed under the name Daucus carota (carrot). RNAcentral's name for it is "long non-coding RNA (DCAR_LNC000852)". The record is from RNAcentral. Lineage: Eukaryota; Viridiplantae; Streptophyta; Magnoliopsida; Apiales; Apiaceae.